AAUCCAAUUUUUCAAUCGUGAGGGUUCAAGUCCCUCUAUCCCCA
Molecule: transfer RNA, 44 nt
Filed under: Jumellea arborescens
Lineage: Eukaryota; Viridiplantae; Streptophyta; Magnoliopsida; Asparagales; Orchidaceae
Description: partial tRNA-Leu
Source: RNAcentral